UUCCUACGGGGGGCUGCAGUGGGGAAUAUUGGACAAUGGGCGCAAGCCUGAUCCAGCCAUGCCGCGUGAGUGAUGAAGGCCUUAGGGUUGUAAAGCUCUUUUGUCCGGGAAGAUAAUGACUGUACCGGAAGAAUAAGCCCCGGCUAACUUCGUGCCAGCAGCCGCGGUAAUACGAAGGGGGCUAGCGUUGCUCGGAAUCACUGGGCGGAAAGGGCGCGUAGGCGGACUCUUAAGUCGGGGGUGAAAGCCCAGGGCUCAACCCUGGAAUUGCCUUCGAUACUGGGAGUCUUGAGUUCGGAAGAGGUUGGUGGAACUGCGAGUGUAGAGGUGAAAUUCGUAGAUAUUCGCAAGAACACCGGUGGCGAAGGCGGCCAACUGGUCCGAAACUGACGCUGAGGCGCGAAAGCGUGGGGAGCAAACAGGAUUAGAUACCCGAGUAGUCAA
Molecule: ribosomal RNA, 444 nt
Filed under: uncultured Hyphomicrobiales bacterium
Lineage: Bacteria; Pseudomonadati; Pseudomonadota; Alphaproteobacteria; Hyphomicrobiales
Description: bacterial SSU rRNA
Rfam family: Bacterial small subunit ribosomal RNA
Source: RNAcentral